This 407-nucleotide ribosomal RNA is filed under the name uncultured bacterium. Its description in RNAcentral is "partial 16S ribosomal RNA". It matches the Rfam family "Bacterial small subunit ribosomal RNA", at positions 28 to 526 of the family's 1533-position model. The record is from RNAcentral.
GACGAACGCUGGCGGCGUGCCUAAUACAUGCAAGUAGAACGCCGUUGCGAACGGGUGAGUAACGCGUAGGUAACUGCCUCAUAGCGGGGGAUCACUAUUGGAAACGAUAGCUAAUACCGCAUACUGUGAGAUGGACCUGCGUGGUAUUAGCUAUUUGGAUUGGUAAAGGCUCACCAAGGCGAGGAUACAUAGCCGACCUGAGAGGGGGAUCGGCAAAACUGAGAAUGAGAGACGGCCCAGAAUCCUACGGUAGGCAGCAGUAGGUAAUCGUCAGAAAGUGAAGGAAGUCUGACCGAGCAACGCGGCGUGAGUGAAGAAGGUUGUCGGAUAGUAAAGCUCCGUUGUUAGAGAAGCGGUAACGAACCAGAAAGGGACGGGUAACUACGGGCCAGCAGCCGAGGUAAAAC